This is a long non-coding RNA of Mauremys reevesii (Reeves's turtle), 1185 nucleotides long. RefSeq lists it as uncharacterized. Lineage: Eukaryota; Metazoa; Chordata; Testudines; Geoemydidae. The record is from RefSeq and is a predicted model, not a curated record. The transcript has 2 exons.
UUGUUGCUCUCCUCUGGACUGUCUACGAAGAGUGGUGCCCAGAACUGAACACAGUAUUCCAGUGGAGGCCUUAUCACUGCUGAGCAGAAUGGAAGAAUUACUUCUCAUGUCUUGCAUAAAACACUCCUGCUAGUACAUCACACAACUUUUGCCUUUUUUUUUUCCCCCUUCUCAACCGUAUUACACAGUGUUGACUCUUAUAGUAGAUCACAAGUUUAAUAACUCCCAGAUCAUUUUCUACAAUACUCCUUCCUAGACAGUAAUUUCCCAUUUUGUAUGUGCACAUGUGAGGGGGUGUGCCAACCCCGCAAGGGUUAACCAUGUACUUUGGGCUCAGGAGGUCACACCUCCCUCCCCUCCGGGCAUACUCCAUCUGGAAGCAGUAUAUAAAAGGUCACAGCUCAGCUCAAUCUGGGCUGACUGAGGAGAAAAGCAGAUGCAUGCUGCAGGCUCCUGCCAGGGAGCUGCUAGAGCUCCAGCCUGCAGAGCCCAGUCGACUGCGGAGAAUGUGGGAGGUGGAAGGCUGCUAACCCUGAAGGAACUACAGGAUCCAAGACUAACGAUUCUCUGCUUUGGGAGGAAGAACGACGUUUGCCUUUUGCUGACCGACCAGGAGAACGAGAUCUGGAUCGGCUACCACUGCGUCUGGAAGGAGAACUUGAGGAAGAAUUGCUUUUUCGAGGUUUAAAUGAUGAUACAGACUGAAAGAAACAGGACACAUUAAAUAUGAUUUGUAAAGUUUUUGCUAAAUGAAAGAAUUGUCAUAAAAAUACAAUUAGACAGUAAUUUUAGCUGUUAUUUCUCAAUAUAUAUUUGUACCAUUGAAAACAUCUAAUACCUAUAAAAAUGUUUAAAUAUUUGUAGUAAAUUUAGGACUCAAAGGGACUCAAUUUUCAGCUCUAGUAAUUGAGCAGAGACUGUGGUAAUGCAAAGCUUCCCUACUCCGCUAACAUUCCACAAGACCAAGAUGGAGGGACAAUCUCAUUAGUAUUUAGUCCCUAUUCUUCCAUUUCUGGUUAAUACUGAAGCAACUGAAGCAAGACAGGCUUGAGUAUCUGGUUGCUUCAGGUCUCCUUAACCCUUGCCAAAUUUGGGUGCAGACCUGGGUAUAGCACAGAAACUGCACUAACAACAUUGUAAUAUAUGCUCCUUCUAGCAGCAGUAAAGAUCAAGGUGUUCAUGUCA